AUAUGACAGAAUUAGCGGUGUUUAUUCUAAUUAGAGGAACUUGUUUUGUAAUCGACAGUCCACGUUAACCUUUCUUAAUUUUGUAGAUAUUAUGUAUACCGACGACGUCAGAAUAUUUUUGAAGAGAGCUUAAUUUUCUUAGUAUUAUUAAGAUAUGAACGUCAGAUCAAGGUGCGGUUAUAAUUAAGUAAUGAUGAGUUACAAUAAAAAUAUUUAUAUGAAUUAAAUUAUUAAAAUUAUUUAUGAAGGUGGAUUUGAUUGUAAUGUGGAAAUAGAUUUUCCAUACGAAUUUUUAGCUCUAAAA
RNAcentral lists this ribosomal RNA (304 nucleotides) under Praetrigoniophthalmus sp. CFNDS1. Its description in RNAcentral is "partial 12S ribosomal RNA". Lineage: Eukaryota; Metazoa; Arthropoda; Insecta; Archaeognatha; Machilidae. The record is from RNAcentral.